This 325-nucleotide ribosomal RNA is filed under the name uncultured eukaryote. Its description in RNAcentral is "LSU rRNA". It matches the Rfam family "Bacterial large subunit ribosomal RNA", at positions 2155 to 2479 of the family's 2925-position model. The record is from RNAcentral.
CUAUGAACCUUUUCUUCUGGGAAGAGGGGAGCCAUCAGUGAGAUACCACUCUUGGUAAGCUAGAGCGCUCAGUCUUCACCGUCAUCCGGUAAGACGACAGUUUCAGGCGGGCAGUUUGACUGGGGCAGUCACCUCCCAAAAGGUAAUGGAGGUGUGCAAAGGUUCCCUCAGGCUGGACGGAAAUCAGCCAUAGAGUGUAAAAGCAUAAGGGAGCUUGACUGCGAGACUGACAUGUCAAGCAGAGACGAAAGUCGGCUUUAGUGAUCCGACGGUGCUGUGUGGAAAGGCCGUCGCUCAACGGAUAAAAGUUACUCUAGGGAUAACA